ACGGGAGGCAGCAGUGGGGAAUAUUGCACAAUGGGGGAAACCCUGAUGCAGCAACGCCGCGUGAGUGAAGAAGUAUUUCGGUAUGUAAAGCUCUAUCAGCAGGGAAGAAAAUGACGGUACCUGACUAAGAAGCCCCGGCUAACUACGUGCCAGCAGCCGCGGUAAUACGUAGGGGGCAAGCGUUAUCCGGAUUUACUGGGUGUAAAGGGAGCGUAGACGGCGAAGCAAGUCUGAAGUGAAAGCCCACGGCUCAACCGUGGAACUGCUUUGGAAACUGUUUUGCUAGAGUGCAGGAGGGGCAGGCGGAAUUCCUAGUGUAGCGGUGAAAUGCGUAGAUAUUAGGAGGAACACCAGUGGCGAAGGCGGCUUACUGGACUGUAACUGACGUUGAGGCUCGAAAGCGUGGGGAGCAAACAGGAUUAGAUACCCUGGUA
Molecule: ribosomal RNA, 434 nt
Filed under: uncultured Clostridiales Family XIV bacterium
Lineage: Bacteria; Bacillati; Bacillota; Clostridia; Eubacteriales; Clostridiales Family XIV. Incertae Sedis
Description: bacterial SSU rRNA
Rfam family: Bacterial small subunit ribosomal RNA
Source: RNAcentral